GGAAUUGACGGGACCGCACAAGCGGUGGAUGAUGUGGUUUAAUUCGAUGCAACGCGAAAAACCUUACCUACACUUGACAUGCCAGAAAUCCUGCAGAGAUGUGGGAGUGCCGCAAGGAAUCUGGGCACAGGUGCUGCAUGGCUGUCGUCAGCUCGUGUCGUGAGAUGUUGGGUUAAGUCCCCGCAACGAGCGCAACCCUUGUCACUAGUUGCUACAUUUAGUUGGGCACUCUAGUGAGACUGCCGGUGACAAACCGGAGGAAGGUGGGGAUGACGUCAAGUCCUCAUGGCCCUUAUGUGUAGGGCUACACACGUCAUACAAUGGUCGGUACAGAGGGUUGCCAACCCGCGAGGGGGAGCUAAUCUCACAAAGCCGAUCGUAGUCCGGAUCGCAGUCUGCAACUCGACUGCGUGAAGUCGGAAUCGCUAGUAAUCGUGGAUCAGCAUGUCACGGUGAAUACGUUCCCGGGUCUUGUACACACC
This 482-nucleotide ribosomal RNA is filed under the name uncultured bacterium. RNAcentral describes it as "bacterial SSU rRNA". It matches the Rfam family "Bacterial small subunit ribosomal RNA", at positions 906 to 1391 of the family's 1533-position model. The record is from RNAcentral.